Molecule: ribosomal RNA, 468 nt
Filed under: uncultured bacterium
Lineage: Bacteria
Description: partial 16S ribosomal RNA
Rfam family: Bacterial small subunit ribosomal RNA
Source: RNAcentral
GACGAACGCUGGCGGCGUGCUUAACACAUGCAAGUCGAACGGAAAGGCCCUGCUUUUGUGGGGUGCUCGAGUGGCGAACGGGUGGGUAACACGUGAGUAACCUGCCCUUGACUUUGGGAUAACUUCAGGAAACUGGGGCUAAUACCGGAUAGGAGCUCCUGCUGCAUGGUGGGGGUUGGAAAGUUUCGGCGGUUGGGGAUGGACUCGCGGCUUAUCAGCUUGUUGGUGGGGUAGUGGCUUACCAAGGCUUUGACGGGUAGCCGGCCUGAGAGGGUGACCGGCCACAUUGGGACUGAGAUACGGCCCAGACUCCUACGGGAGGCAGCAGUGGGGAAUAUUGCACAAUGGGCGGAAGCCUGAUGCAGCAACGCCGCGUGCGGGAUGACGGCCUUCGGGUUGUAAACCGCUUUCGCCUGUGACAAAGCGUGAGUGACGGUAAUGGGUAAAGAAGCACCGGCUAACUACGUG